CCUACGGGUGGCUGCAGUGGGGAAUAUUGGACAAUGGGCGAAAGCCUGAUCCAGCCAUGCCGCGUGUGUGAAGAAGGCCUUCGGGUUGUAAAGCACUUUCAGUGGGGAAGAAAGCCUUGGGGCUAAUACCCUCGAGGAAGGACAUCACCCACAGAAGAAGCACCGGCUAACUCCGUGCCAGCAGCCGCGGUAAUACGGAGGGUGCGAGCGUUAAUCGGAAUUACUGGGCGUAAAGCGCGCGUAGGCGGUCUGAUAAGCCGGUUGUGAAAGCCCCGGGCUCAACCUGGGAACGGCAUCCGGAACGGGCAGGCUAGAGUGCAGGAGAGGAAGGUAGAAUUCCCGGUGGAGCGGUGAAAUGCGUAGAGAUCGGGAGGAAUACCAGUGGCGAAGGCGGCCUUCUGGACUGACACUGACGCUGAGGUGCGAAAGCGUGGGUAGCAAACAGGAUUAGAUACCCCAGUAGUC
This 465-nucleotide ribosomal RNA is filed under the name Vreelandella stevensii. RNAcentral describes it as "partial 16S ribosomal RNA". It matches the Rfam family "Bacterial small subunit ribosomal RNA", at positions 338 to 795 of the family's 1533-position model. The record is from RNAcentral. Lineage: Bacteria; Pseudomonadati; Pseudomonadota; Gammaproteobacteria; Oceanospirillales; Halomonadaceae.